AAAAUUAGAGUGUUCAAAGCAGGCAGAUCCAAUUUUCUGCCACCGAAUACAUUAGCAUGGGAUAAUGGAAUAGGACCCUGUCCUCCUAUUUUCAGUUGGUUUUGGCAGCGCGAGGACUAGGGUAAUGAUUAAUAGGGAUAGUUGGGGGCAUUAAUAUUUAAUUGUCAGAGGUGAAAUUCUUGGAUUUAUGAAAGAUUAACUUCUGCGAAAGCAUCUGCCAAGGAUGUUUUCAUUAAUCAAGAACGAAAGUUAGGGGAUCGAAGACGAUCAGAUACCGUCGUAGUCUUAACCAUAAACGAUGCCGACCAGCGAUUAGGAGACGUUGAAUACAAAACACCACCAUCGGCGCGGUCGUCCUUGGCGUGUCUCGGCUUCACGGCCGGGGCGCGCGAGGGCGGUUAGCCCGG
Molecule: ribosomal RNA, 407 nt
Filed under: Acanthamoeba sp.
Lineage: Eukaryota; Discosea; Longamoebia; Acanthamoebidae
Description: SSU rRNA
Rfam family: Eukaryotic small subunit ribosomal RNA
Source: RNAcentral